GCGGGCGUGGUUCAGUGGUAGAACGCUACCUUGCCAAGGUAGAGAUGGGAGUUCGAUUCUCCUCGCCCGCUCCA
This 74-nucleotide transfer RNA is filed under the name Elusimicrobiota bacterium. Its description in RNAcentral is "Elusimicrobia bacterium (groundwater metagenome) tRNA-Gly". It matches the Rfam family "tRNA". Rfam says of the family: Transfer RNA (tRNA) molecules are approximately 80 nucleotides in length. Their secondary structure includes four short double-helical elements and three loops (D, anti-codon, and T loops). Further hydrogen bonds mediate the characteristic L-shaped molecular structure. tRNAs have two regions of fundamental functional importance: the anti-codon, which is responsible for specific mRNA codon recognition, and the 3' end, to which the tRNAs corresponding amino acid is attached (by aminoacyl-tRNA synthetases). tRNAs cope with the degeneracy of the genetic code in two manners: having more than one tRNA (with a specific anti-codon) for a particular amino acid; and 'wobble' base-pairing, i.e. permitting non-standard base-pairing at the 3rd anti-codon position. Lineage: Bacteria; Pseudomonadati; Elusimicrobiota. The record is from RNAcentral.